UGACGAGUCCCAAAUAGGACGAAAUGCGCAUCCUGGAU
Trichobilharzia regenti is the source of this 38-nucleotide non-coding RNA. Lineage: Eukaryota; Metazoa; Platyhelminthes; Trematoda; Strigeidida; Schistosomatidae. The record is from Rfam.